Molecule: ribosomal RNA, 291 nt
Filed under: uncultured bacterium
Lineage: Bacteria
Description: partial 16S ribosomal RNA
Rfam family: Bacterial small subunit ribosomal RNA
Source: RNAcentral
ACUUUCCUACGGGGCGCAGCAGUCGAGAAUCAUUCACAAUGGGGGAAACCCUGAUGGUGCGACGCCGCGUGGGGGAAUGAAGGUCUUCGGAUUGUAAACCCCUGUCAUGUGGGAGAAAAUUAAAAAGAUAGUACCACAAGAGGAAGAGACGGCUAACUCUGUGCCAGCAGCCGCGGUAAUAGAGAGGUCUCAAGCGUUGUUCGGAGUCACUGGGGGUAAAGCGUGCGUAGGCUGUUGCGUAAGUCGUGUGUGAAAUGCGCGGGCUCAACCCGCGGACGGCACAUGAUACUG